UUCUUUUAUACUCUCUCUCUCCCAGGUAAGAAUUCUUGCAUCGAAUAUGUUUUAUUUUAUUUUUAUUUUAAGUAAAUAUGUAUUAUUUACUUUAUAUGUGUUUUGAAUCAAUUCUCCUAUCCUGGAUCCCAGCACUACUUACUCAUGUGCCACAUUCCGAAGUUAAUAUUUUGAACAGUAUAAUAAGUUUUCGGUCAUUUCCUGACAGCAGAAUUUCAACUGUUGGAGAAACAAGUAAAACUUUUCCUGGUGUCAGACUGACGACUUACCUACAUACGUUGCAGGAUCCUUACAUUAGCUAA
Molecule: long non-coding RNA, 302 nt
Filed under: Androctonus crassicauda
Lineage: Eukaryota; Metazoa; Arthropoda; Arachnida; Scorpiones; Buthidae
Source: RNAcentral